RNAcentral lists this ribosomal RNA (371 nucleotides) under uncultured organism. RNAcentral's name for it is "partial 16S ribosomal RNA". It matches the Rfam family "Bacterial small subunit ribosomal RNA", at positions 527 to 896 of the family's 1533-position model. The record is from RNAcentral.
GUAGGUGGCAAGCGUUGUCCGGAAUUAUUGGGCGUAAAGCGCGCGCAGGCGGUUCUUUAAGUCUGAUGUGAAAGCCCACGGCUCAACCGUGGAGGGUCAUUGGAAACUGGAGAACUUGAGUACAGAAGAGGAAAGCGGAAUUCCACGUGUAGCGGUGAAAUGCGUAGAGAUGUGGAGGAACACCAGUGGCGAAGGCGGCUUUCUGGUCUGUAACUGACGCUGAGGCGCGAAAGCGUGGGGAGCAAACAGGAUUAGAUACCCUGGUAGUCCACGCCGUAAACGAUGAGUGCUAAGUGUUAGUGGGUUUCCGCCCCUUAGUGCUGCAGCUAACGCAUUAAGCACUCCCGCCUGGGAGUACGGCCGCAAGGCUG